UUUCCGUAGGUGAGCCUGCGGAAGGAUCAUUGACGAGUUAGGGUCUUCUAGGCCCGACCUCCCAACCCUUUGUUUACUGAACCAUUGUUGCCUCGGUGGGUCCGUCUUACGACCGCCGGGGGAUCGCCGCGAGGCGCCCCCUGGCCAGCGCCCACCGAUAGCCCAACCUUUAAAGCCCUUUGUGAAUCGUGUCUUAUGUCUAAAUUUAUGAUUAAACAAUCAAAACAAAACUUUCAACAACGGAUCUCUUGGUUCUG
RNAcentral lists this unclassified non-coding RNA (257 nucleotides) under plant metagenome. Its description in RNAcentral is "partial contains small subunit ribosomal RNA, internal transcribed spacer 1, and 5.8S ribosomal RNA". The record is from RNAcentral.